Molecule: unclassified non-coding RNA, 870 nt
Filed under: Streptococcus pneumoniae
Lineage: Bacteria; Bacillati; Bacillota; Bacilli; Lactobacillales; Streptococcaceae
Description: partial contains 16S ribosomal RNA, 16S-23S ribosomal RNA intergenic spacer, and 23S ribosomal RNA
Rfam family: Bacterial small subunit ribosomal RNA (bases 1-143)
Source: RNAcentral
UUUUUAAACUGGGGGAGGCGAGUUGUACACCCGAAGUCGUGAGGUAACCAGUAAGGAGCCAGCCGCCUAAGGUGGGAUAGAUGAUUGGGGUGAAGUCGUAACAAGGUAGCCGUAUCGGAAGGUGCGGCUGGAUCACCUCCUUUCUAAGGAUAAGGAACUGCGCAUUGGUCUUGUUUAGUCUUGAGAGGUCUUGUGGGGCCUUAGCUCAGCUGGGAGAGCGCCUGCUUUGCCGCAGGAGGUCAGCGGUUCGAUCCCGCUAGGCUCCAUUGGUGAGAGAUCACCAAGUAAUGCACAUUGAAAAUUGAAUAUCUAUAUCAAAUAGUAACAAGAAAAUAAACCGAAAACGCUGUAGUAUUAAUAAGAGUUUAUGACUGAAAGGUCAGAAAAUAAGGUUAAGUUAAUAAGGGCGCACGGUGGAUGCCUUGGCACUAGGAGCCGACGAAGGACGUGACAGACGACGAUAUGCAUUGGGUAGCUGUGAGUGAGCGAUGAUCCAGGCAUUUCUGACGGGGGGCCCCCCCAGGUCCCGGGAACGUUUUUCACAGGCCCGGGAACGUAUUUCACAGGCCCGGGAACGUAUUCACAGGCCCGGGACGUAUUCACAGGCCGGAACGUAUUCACAGCCCGGACGUAUUCACAGGCCGGGAACGUUAUUCACAGUCUGGUAACGUAUUACAGGCCGGAAACGUAUUCACAUGUCUGGACUGAUUUCAUAUGCUCGGACGUAGUGCACAGCCCGAGACCUGAUCCAUAUGCCAGAACGAUUCAUAGGCCUUGUCUGUUUGCGAGUUCUGUAUCUGUAUGCUAAGUGCAGUGAUGUAUGUAGAUGCACGUUAAUAACUAGCAGUCAUUGACAUAUACUAUGAUGUG